ACGACCAUAUCACGUUGAAACGCCAGUUUCCGUACGAUCACCGAAGUUAAGCAACGUCGAGACUGGUCAGUAUCUAGAUGGGUGACCACUUGGGAAUACCAGGUUAUGU
Molecule: ribosomal RNA, 109 nt
Filed under: Acanthosepion pharaonis
Lineage: Eukaryota; Metazoa; Mollusca; Cephalopoda; Sepiida; Sepiidae
Source: RNAcentral